GUGGCGAACGGGUGAGUAACACGUGGGCAAUCUGCCCUUCACUCUGGGACAAGCCCUGGAAACGGGGUCUAAUACCGGAUAACACUCUGUCCCGCAUGGGACGGGGUUGAAAGCUCCGGCGGUGAAGGAUGAGCCCGCGGCCUAUCAGCUUGUUGGUGGGGUAAUGGCCUACCAAGGCGACGACGGGUAGCCGGCCUGAGAGGGCGACCGGCCACACUGGGACUGAGACACGGCCCAGACUCCUACGGGAGGCAGCAGUGGGGAAUAUUGCACAAUGGGCGAAAGCCUGAUGCAGCGACGCCGCGUGAGGGAUGACGGCCUUCGGGUUGUAAACCUCUUUCAGCAGGGAAGAAGCGAAAGUGACGGUACCUGCAGAAGAAGCGCCGGCUAACUACGUGCCAGCAGCCGCGGUAAUACGUAGGGCGCAAGCGUUGUCCGGAAUUAUUGGGCGUAAAGAGCUCGUAGGCGGCUUGUCACGUCGGAUGUGAAAGCCCGGGGCUUAACCCCGGGUCUGCAUUCGAUACGGGCUAGCUAGAGUGUGGUAGGGGAGAUCGGAAUUCCUGGUGUAGCGGUGAAAUGCGCAGAUAUCAGGAGGAACACCGGUGGCGAAGGCGGAUCUCUGGGCCAUUACUGACGCUGAG
RNAcentral lists this ribosomal RNA (641 nucleotides) under Streptomyces sp. KLBMP 1200. Its description in RNAcentral is "bacterial SSU rRNA". It matches the Rfam family "Bacterial small subunit ribosomal RNA", at positions 95 to 750 of the family's 1533-position model. Lineage: Bacteria; Bacillati; Actinomycetota; Actinomycetes; Kitasatosporales; Streptomycetaceae. The record is from RNAcentral.